AUCCAGCUGACGAGUUUUAAAUAAGACGAAACGCGCGUCAAACUGGAU
This is a non-coding RNA of Schistosoma rodhaini, 48 nucleotides long. The record is from Rfam. NCBI's taxonomy places the organism in Eukaryota, Metazoa, Platyhelminthes, Trematoda, Strigeidida, Schistosomatidae.